AGAGUUUGAUUCUGGCUCAGGAUGAACGCUAGCGACAGGCUUAACACAUGCAAGUCGAGGGGCAUCACGGGAGUAGCAAUACAACUGGUGGCGACCGGCGCACGGGUGAGUAACGCGUAUGCAACCUACCUAUCAGAGGGGAAUAACCCGGCGAAAGUCGGACUAAUACCGCAUAAAACAGGGGCACCGCAUGGUGAUAUUUGUUAAAGAAAUUCGCUGAUAGAUGGGCAUGCGUUCCAUUAGGUAGUUGGUGAGGUAACGGCUCACCAAGCCGACGAUGGAUAGGGGAACUGAGAGGUUGGUCCCCCACGCUGGUACUGAGACACGGACCAGACUCCUACGGGAGGCAGCAGUGAGGAAUAUUGGUCAAUGGGCGGGAGCCUGAACCAGCCAAGUCGCGUGAAGGAAGAAGGAUCUAUGGUUCGUAAACUUCUUUUGCAGGGGAAUAAAGUGCAGGACGUGUCCUGUUUUGUAUGUACCCUGAGAAUAAGGAUCGGCUAACUCCGUGCCAGCCGCCGC
RNAcentral lists this ribosomal RNA (519 nucleotides) under uncultured bacterium. Its description in RNAcentral is "bacterial SSU rRNA". It matches the Rfam family "Bacterial small subunit ribosomal RNA", at positions 8 to 518 of the family's 1533-position model. The record is from RNAcentral.